UACGUAGGGGGCAAGCGUUGUCCGGAAUCAUUGGGCGUAAAGCGCGUGUAGGCGGUUCGAUAAGUCUGCUGUGAAAGCCCGGGGCUCAACUCCGGAUCCGGAUCCCAAACUGCUAGACUCGAGAGUAUCAGAGGAGAGCGGAAUUCCCGGUGUAGCGGUAAUAUGCGUAGAUAUCGGGAGGAACACCGGUGGCGAAGGCGGCUUUCUGGACAGAUACCGACGCUGAGACGAAAGCUAGGGGAGCGAAC
Molecule: ribosomal RNA, 248 nt
Filed under: uncultured bacterium
Lineage: Bacteria
Description: partial 16S ribosomal RNA
Rfam family: Bacterial small subunit ribosomal RNA
Source: RNAcentral